CCUACGGGAGGCAGCAGUGGGGAAUUUUGCGCAAUGCUCGUAAGAGUGACGCAGCGACGCCGCGUGAAUGACGAAGGCCUUCGGGUCGUAAAGUUCUUUCGACAGGGAAGAAAAUGCCUAUAAGUAACUGUGUAUGUAUUGACGGUACCUGUAUAAGCAGCCCCGGCUAACUCCGUGCCAGCAGCCGCGGUAAUACGGAGGGGGCGAGCGUUGUUCGGAGUGACUGGGCGUAAAGAGCACGUAGGCGGUGUUGUAAGUCAUUAGUCAAAGACUAGAGCUAAACUUUAGUAAGGCUAGUGAUACUAUAAUACGAGAGUAUCAGAGAGGAUUGCAGAAUUCCUGGUGUAGCAGUGAAAUGCGUAGAUAUCAGGAGGAAUACCGUUAGCGAAGGCGGCAAUCUGGCUGGAAACUGACGCUGAGGUGCGAAAGCGUGGGUAGCAAACAGGAUUAGAUACCCCUGUAGUC
Molecule: ribosomal RNA, 465 nt
Filed under: uncultured bacterium
Lineage: Bacteria
Description: partial 16S ribosomal RNA
Rfam family: Bacterial small subunit ribosomal RNA
Source: RNAcentral